This 253-nucleotide ribosomal RNA is filed under the name uncultured bacterium. Its description in RNAcentral is "partial 16S ribosomal RNA". It matches the Rfam family "Bacterial small subunit ribosomal RNA", at positions 524 to 776 of the family's 1533-position model. The record is from RNAcentral.
UACGUAGGGUGCAAGCGUUAAUCGGAAUUACUGGGCGUAAAGCGUGCGCAGGCGGCUUUGCAAGACAGAUGUGAAAUCCCCGGGCUUAACCUGGGAACCGCAUUUGUGACUGCAUGGCUCGAGUGCGGCAGAGGGGGAUGGAAUUCCGCGUGUAGCAGUGAAAUGCGUAGAUAUGCGGAGGAACACCGAUGGCGAAGGCAAUCCCCUGGGCCUGCACUGACGCUCAUGCACGAAAGCGUGGGGAGCAAACAGG